This 382-nucleotide ribosomal RNA is filed under the name uncultured Pelotomaculum sp. Its description in RNAcentral is "bacterial SSU rRNA". It matches the Rfam family "Bacterial small subunit ribosomal RNA", at positions 998 to 1382 of the family's 1533-position model. The record is from RNAcentral. Lineage: Bacteria; Bacillati; Bacillota; Clostridia; Eubacteriales; Desulfotomaculaceae.
CGUAUGAAGUACGUUUCACCUCGGGUGACAGGGAGACAGGUGUGCAUGGUUGUCGUCAGCUCGUGUCGUGAGAUGUUGGGUUAAGUCCCGCAACGAGCGCAACCCCUACGUUUAGUUGCUAACGCGUGAAGGCGAGCACUCUAGACGAACUGCCGUUGACAAAACGGAGGAAGUGGGGAUGACGUCAAAUCAUCAUGCCCCUUAUGUUCUGGGCUACACACGUGCUACAAUGGCCGGUACAGACGGACGCAAAGCCGCGAGGUGGAGCAAAUCCUAAAAAGCCGGUCUCAGUUCGGAUUGCAGGCUGCAAUUCGCCUGCAUGAAGUCGGAAUUGCUAGUAAUCGCAGGUCAGCAUACUGCGGUGAAUACGUUCCCGGGCCUU